Frankia sp. is the source of this 85-nucleotide transfer RNA. It matches the Rfam family "tRNA". Rfam says of the family: Transfer RNA (tRNA) molecules are approximately 80 nucleotides in length. Their secondary structure includes four short double-helical elements and three loops (D, anti-codon, and T loops). Further hydrogen bonds mediate the characteristic L-shaped molecular structure. tRNAs have two regions of fundamental functional importance: the anti-codon, which is responsible for specific mRNA codon recognition, and the 3' end, to which the tRNAs corresponding amino acid is attached (by aminoacyl-tRNA synthetases). tRNAs cope with the degeneracy of the genetic code in two manners: having more than one tRNA (with a specific anti-codon) for a particular amino acid; and 'wobble' base-pairing, i.e. permitting non-standard base-pairing at the 3rd anti-codon position. The record is from Rfam. NCBI's taxonomy places the organism in Bacteria, Bacillati, Actinomycetota, Actinomycetes, Frankiales, Frankiaceae.
GGAGGAUUCGCCUAGUGGCCUAGGGCGCACGCUUGGAAAGCGUGUUGGGGGCAACCCCUCGCGAGUUCGAAUCUCGCAUCCUCCG